GCCUCCCAAAAGGUAACGGAGGCGUGCAAAGGUUUCCUCGAGCCAGACGGACAUUGGUCCUCGAGUGCAAAGGCAGAAGGGAGCUUGACUGCAAGACUCACCCGUCGAGCAGAGACGAAAGUCGGCCUUAGUGAUCCGACGGUGCCGAGUGGAAGGGCCGUUGCUCAAC
RNAcentral lists this non-coding RNA (169 nucleotides) under Brachypodium distachyon (stiff brome). RNAcentral's name for it is "Bacterial large subunit ribosomal RNA". It matches the Rfam family "Bacterial large subunit ribosomal RNA", at positions 2285 to 2453 of the family's 2925-position model. Lineage: Eukaryota; Viridiplantae; Streptophyta; Magnoliopsida; Poales; Poaceae. The record is from Rfam by way of RNAcentral.